Molecule: small RNA, 408 nt
Filed under: Pan troglodytes (chimpanzee)
Lineage: Eukaryota; Metazoa; Chordata; Mammalia; Primates; Hominidae
Description: processed transcript
Source: RNAcentral
GGCCUUUUUUCCAAUAGUCUUGAACGGAUGCAAAUUAGAGAAUUGCAAGCCACUGAGGCUGACUUUGCAUGGGCUAUUCGGCCAUUGGAGAAGAGUACAAAGCUGGAUUUCCAUUUUGCUCAGGGCCCUAGAGCUCGUGUGUGUGCUUUCUCUUCAACUCCUGUCCUUUUUGUCUUCUUCACAGAUGGCAGAAGAUUUUCAAGUCCCGGCUGGUGGAGUUGUUAGUGUCCUAUGGCAACACCUUCUUUGUGGUUCUCAUUGUCAUCCUUGUGCUGUUGGUCAUCGAUGCCGUGCGCGAAAUUCGGAAGUAUGAUGAUGUGACGGAAAAGGUGAACCUCCAGAACAAUCCCGGGGCCAUGGAGCACUUCCACAUGAAGCUUUUCCGUGCCCAGAGGAAUCUCUACAUUG